Molecule: long non-coding RNA, 717 nt
Organism: Rhipicephalus microplus (southern cattle tick)
Lineage: Eukaryota; Metazoa; Arthropoda; Arachnida; Ixodida; Ixodidae
Source: RefSeq, a predicted model, not a curated record
CACUGUCGCCACUGCUGCUGCUGAUUCUUCGUCUGAAGAGUGCCGGACCUAUACAAACUUUUUUAACAUCAACCCUAAUGCGCGAUGGUACUGUUACAACGCAAGGACACACAUUUGUGAACCAGUGGAAGGGAAAUCCGUGAACGCUGGCAAACGGAACUGUUUUCCGACAGUGGAACUCUGCUACUGGCACUGUCGCGCACAUUCAGAUUGUUUACUUCCACGUGAAAUCGGGAAGAGCUGCAGAAACAAGAAGGAGUUAGCCUAUUAUUUUGACAGUGCCAAUCAGACAUGUACUUUGUUCCUCUAUAAUGGAUGUGGUGGCAAUUUCAAUAGGUUUGCGUCUCUGCAUGAGUGCCAUGUUAUUUGUCGAGGCAAUCCAUGCGUUACUCCUCUUGAGUUCAACCCAGAGUACUGCGACGAAAAAAUACCAUUUCAUUACUACAGUCAAUUCUCUGGUAAAUGCGCCACCAGUCAGCACUGCAACCGUCUUGGCACUAACUAUAAAACGAAGACUGACUGUGAAGAGGCAUGCAUACUUAAAAAGAAGCCCUAAGCUCAAAUUGAAGAAGAAAGAAAAACAAACUGCAAGACAAAGCCAACAGGAAAACUUUAUUCAAAAGGAACGCCUCACCUGUGCAGCGUUUCCACAACUAUUGAAAGUGCUGCGACGUUUUCUUUUUUUCCCUUUCAGGAAACGUGAAAAAGUCGGCGUGC